This 384-nucleotide long non-coding RNA is filed under the name Coccomyxa subellipsoidea. Its description in RNAcentral is "long non-coding RNA (CSUB_LNC000464)". The record is from RNAcentral. Lineage: Eukaryota; Viridiplantae; Chlorophyta; Trebouxiophyceae; Coccomyxaceae.
GGCCUGACGCGGCUGCUGGAGGGGCAGAAGGAGGCGGCCAGCGCUGGCAGCGGCCGCAAGGAGAACCGCCGCGAGACGUGGUGCCCCGGAGCCAAAGGUGCCUGCUUUCUACCACAUGCAGCCCUUUGCCAGCUCAAUGCAUCCCUUGGGGUGUGCCGCUCAGGACUGCAUUCCUGCGUCGAUGAUGGUUGCAGAUGGGCAUGCUUGAUGCACAAGUGAAAAAUGCAAAAAUUUGAAGAAUUGAAAUGCUUUGGGGUGUGCAGAGGGGAGGGGAAGGAAGCGGCCGUUUGCGUCGCACCUGCCCAACUUUGACGAGGACUGCACCGACGACACUACAGUGUCUGCGACUGAGGACAGCCGCUCUCGUUCCCCCCAGAGGCGCCG